This is a non-coding RNA of Microcebus murinus (gray mouse lemur), 1993 nucleotides long. The record is from RefSeq and is a predicted model, not a curated record. NCBI's taxonomy places the organism in Eukaryota, Metazoa, Chordata, Mammalia, Primates, Cheirogaleidae.
CCCGUUUCUAAUUUUAGACCUGCUGAGUUUAAGACGAGAGGUGACAGAUCCGUGGAACUGGCUUCCAGAAGAUGAGAGCUGCCCCUCCCCGCUUUUCAGCCUCCCAUUCUCAGGAUUCUUCCUUUUUGACAGUGAUGUUUUCCACCAGGAAUCCCGCCUGGCUUGGGGGCCGGCCAGAGAGGGGGGAGGAAGCGAGCCGCUAGCAGGGGGUGGGGAGAGGAGGAGGACUGACAGAGCAGCUGCAACUCAUCUCCGGACAGCUGCGAAAAGGAGCCCAGGUCCUGGGAAACGCGCCUGCCUCCCGCUCCCAGCUUCCUCCCGCCCGAGACCAGAGGACUCAGGCGGAAGACCACGCCAUGUCGCCAUGUCGCCAUGUCGCCACGUCCGGGUGGGGUGGAGGCCCCGCUGGGAGACGAGAACUGCUGCCAAAACUUAAAACGAUGAUGUCCUUCCCAGCCUCACUGUUGCAAAUCAGAAAGGAAGAAAAGCCCCGGGUGAAUCAUCACACGCCUCACCGCAGUGCAGAAGCAGAGGGAGCCCGAGCCCGAGCCCGCAGCUGGCGCUGCCCACCCGACGGGAGGCCGAGCUCCGACAAGGGGACAAGGGCGCGCAAUGGGAGCGGCUGCAAGUACAGGUGGAGCUUUGCUCACUCACGGCCGCUCACCUCCUGCUGUGUGGCCCGGCUCCUACCAGGCCGUGCACCAGUCCCUCUGCAGCCCAGGGGCUGGGGACCGCAGAUCUAUGGUAAUGGACUAGGGAGAACUCAGCCCCGCCUGUUUGCUCAGAUUCUCUCUGUGUCCUAGUGUCUUAGGGGUGAGGGUGCUCCUGUUCGCUGGGUAGUGGGAGGGUCUCUCUCCCAGGAGGGUCUUCCGACCCACUUCAAGGGAAGGUCAGAAAAUCCUUCCUAGGUUUAUGGCCUGCUUCAGAGGAGAACAGCAGGCUCACUCAGUGAGACUGUCCUGUACUUGCUGUUUCUCAAAUCCCUUUAGCUUAAAAUAUUUAAUUUGCCAAGCUGCCAUAUUUUGGGGUACAUGUUCUGAACUCUAUCCUAUGUAAACAUCACCCAAAAUAAGAUGUAGAAGAUAAUAUUUCCAUCAUCCAGAAAGUUCCCUUUUGCUGUUUCCCUCCAGCCCCAGGCAGCUACUUUCUCAUUUCUAUUGUUACAGGUUAGUUUUGUCUAUUUAAGAACUUUAUAUCAGUGGAAUAGUGCAGUAAAGUACUCUUUUGUGGGGGACUUCUUUUGCUUAAUGCAAUGGUUUUGCAAUUCAUCUAUGUUACAUGCAUCAAUAGUUUAUUCCUUUUUAUUGAAAAAUAGUACUGUGUUGUGUUAAUACUGUUGGUUUAUCUGUUUACCUGUUGGACAUUUGGGAUGUUUUGACUUUUUAUUAUUGUGUUUCAAGCUGCUGUGAACAUUUUUAUAAACAUCUUUAUGGACAUACAUUUUCAUUUAUCUGGAGUAACUAUAUAAAGGUGGGAUUGCUAGAUGAUAGGUAAAUACGAUUAAAGUUGCAACACACUGCCAAGCAGUUCUCCAAAGUGGCUGGCACACUCAGCAGCAGCGCACGGGAACUCCAUUGCCUCCACACACUCCCCAGCGCUUGGUUUCUGGGGAGUGUAUAAUGGAACUCAUUGUGGGGUAAAUUUGCAUUUCCCUGAUAAUUUAAAAAUGUUGAUCGCCUUUACAUACAAGUAUUGGCUAUUUGUAUAUCUUUCUUUGUGACAUGACUAUUUAAUUCUUUUCCCAAGCUUUUAUUGGGCUGUCUUUUAUUGCUGAUUCAUAUUUAUAUGUAAUGUCUGUGACAGGGUUCAGUAGAUACUGUCCCCAAAUGUGACACCUGGCAUUUGAGAAAAUGGCAGAAGCAGAAGCUGUCUCCAAUCUUCUCCUAGCAUUCUCCCCUGAAGCAGGCAUUAAAGAAAACUAUCUAGGGUGGCUCACACCUGUAAUCCUAGCACUCUGGGAGGCAGAGGCGGGAGGAUCAUUUGAGCUCAGGAG